This 494-nucleotide ribosomal RNA is filed under the name uncultured bacterium. Its description in RNAcentral is "partial 16S ribosomal RNA". It matches the Rfam family "Bacterial small subunit ribosomal RNA", at positions 28 to 507 of the family's 1533-position model. The record is from RNAcentral.
GACGAACGCUGGCGGCGUGCUUAACACAUGCCAGUCGAACGGUGAAGCGCCUUCCUUUUUGGCGGGUGUGGAUGAGUGGCGAACGGGUGAGUAACACGUGAGUAACCUGCCCCCUUCUUCUGGAUAACCGCAUGAAAGUGUGGCGAAUACGGGAUAUUCUGGGUCUGUAGCAUGAUGGGUCUGGGUAAGAUAUUGUUUCGGUGGAGGAUGGGCUCGCGGCCUAUCAGGUUGUUGGUGGGGUGAUGGCCUACCAAGGCGGUGACGGAUAGCCGGCCUGGGAGGGUUGACUGUCACACUGGGACUGAGGCACGGCCCGGACUGGUAUGGGAGGCGGCAGUGGGGACUAUUGCGCAAUGGGGGCAAGCCUGGUGCACCGACGGCGCGUGAGUGAUGGAGCCAUGCGGGUUGUGAAACGCUUUCGCCAGUGAAGCAGAGCUGCCUCGUUUGUGGGUGGUUUGACGGUAGCUGGAUAAGAAGCGCCGGCUAACUACGUG